CACCAUCAAGAAUCACAAUGAAAUACACUCCAAGAUGAAAUCCUGAAUGCAAUAUCAUAACCAUACUGAAAUUGAGUUAAUUUGCUAUAAUCCAGGAAAGAGAGACUCAUUUCAUACUUUGACAUCAUUGAGUUAGAAAUUACUACAAUUUAAUAAUCAUAGUGCACGGUCAUCUGUUAUAAUUCGGAAAAAAGAAGCUAAUCUCUACAUAGAAAUCAUUGUUAAUUUAACAACUAAGAAUGAAAUGAGCUGCCUGGGAACUCCACAUUUCAAUGGAGCAUAUGCAGUAGAAAUGACAACUGAAGGUAUCUAACAUUGAGAGACAACUGUUUCUAUCAAUAGCCCAACAAAAAAAAUUCUGCAGAAUUUGAGCACCACGUCAAAGUGAAGAAAAUUUUAGGAUAACUCUGAUUUUUCUUUAGGCACACUCUAGUGACCGCUAUUAUGUCUUCCAUAUAGACUUUGUGAACAAUAAAAUUUGCUCAUUUACUACUUUACAAAAAAAUAGAACCAUCCCUGGAGUACUUUGUGGCUCCUGCUCCACCCACCCCUGCCAACACUGCAGCCCUCCCCUCAAAGUGAUCCUCCCCAACAUCCAGUUUCAACCGCCCCUUACUCUCUCCUUUUUGCAUAUGGAAUUUCUUCAUUGUUAUCUGGUAUAACCAUUAGCCUAUUUCUCAGAGGGCUUCUAAAAUGUACAGAAGAGAAUUAGUCCACCAUAAUAUACGUCCCUUCAUUGCUUUUCUACUUGAGAACCAUCAGGCAAAAUGUUCAAAUCAAUUAUCUUGCACAUCAUAGCUUCAAAUCUGGAAAUAUCAUAUGCAUUAUUUCUCUUCUUCGCUCUUUAACCUAUUUAGGUCAUUUGAGAUCUAGGAUUAGCUCUGUUUCAUCUUGAAGGGGGAGAUGAAGUUCGACAUUAGCGCAGCCAGGAAUUUCACUAAGAGGAUUCAAAAUAUAGAAGAAGUAAACACACGAAGAAACAAGGAGGAUUGAAUAUCUACUAUAUAGAUAAAAAUAAUUUUGACCUUGCAUAUUUGGUGUAAUUUUCCAACAAAAGGGGUUCGGAUAAAUCCCCUUUGCACCUCUGGCUCCAACCAUGAUGGUCUACCCUGUUGGAACUUUGGGAGGCACGCACUCUCAAUCAAUCAAGUUAUACAAGUGCAAAAACAUAUUCUAUUGCUUCACUCGACAAAAGCUAAAUAAAAUGACAAUAAUAAAUAGGUAUUUAUAAGCGUUAUUCAGCGCGUACCUCAUCUAAAACAUGUACCACAAUUCAUUCUAUACUCCCAUUUUCACAAAUAUAGGCAUUACGAAUUCAUUUAAUACACAAUUCUAAGUACUUAAUUUAAACACUCAAAGCCAAUAGGUCUUCCCAUCUUUCAACGCAACAUCCAAUUUUCAAUACUCCUCCUUGAACCUUGAUGCAAGAUCAAGAAUGCUAAAUAUUCAUGAACUUCAAGAAGUGAAGAAUCCAUCCAAGAUUAGGAUUUCUUUUCCUUAAAGAUUAGUGAUUAGUUUUUCUAAGCUAUUGCUUCAAAAACGUGAUUUAUUUUAUAUUUCAUUGUUCUUCCUUUAUUCAACUCUUCUUGCAAUCUUGCGGGAUUGGGGAACGUGUGGGUGAGGUUUAUUUCCAUCUUACAUUCUUCAUUGUUCUUCCUUUAUUCAACUCUUCUUGCAAUCUUGCGGGAUUGGGGAACAUGUGGGUGAGGUUUCUUUCCAUCUUGGAUUCUUCUAACGUGAGUUUGAAGAACGUUUUCGCUAGUUUUGUGAAAAACUUUAGCAGGGUGAUUUUGUUUUUCUCUCUUCUUUGUACUUAAGAGGUGCAAAACCUUGAAAGUACAUCAAUUUGGUAUCAGAGCUCAAGUUCCAGGUCCGAAUUCUUGAUUUGCUACAUUGUUCAUCGUGUCAUCAAACAAGAAAAUACCAAGUUCAGAAUCUUAUUCAAUGGAUCUUCAAUUAGAAGUUUAUAAAUUAAGAAUUAGAAUCCUUGAACGAGACAACGAAGAAACUAAAGUGCAGCUAAAUGACUUGAAGGAAUCAAUGGAGAAUCUGACUAAAUUAGUUGAAGGUUUGGUGUUUCAAUAUCAACUACCAACUCUGUCACAACGCCUACAACCACUACAUCCACCACUUCUAUAUCCAUCAAUUCAUUCACAAACAACUGAAGAGGUUGAAGCUGACCAAGGCACAAGAGAACCAAGGCACCAUGCCCAUUAUGAUAAACAUUCAGAUAGUCAGGGGCGUGAAGAUGGCAAAGUUGAUAAUGACGAAUAUCAAAGAGACGAGGAAUAUGCAUUAGAUCCAAAACUUGAGGAAUUACCACCAUAGUUUUAAAAUAAUCCGAACCCAACUACGUGUGUUAUUGGCUUUCCGCCUUUUAGAGAUGCUCCACAAAAUAUUGACUUGAUUGUUGACUCUAUCAACCCAAACAAGGCAACAUAUUGCGUUAAUUCUAAAGUCCAUAGAAAUAUACUAGAACAAGAGGAAAAAUUACCUAUAAAGGAGUGGGUAAUGGAGAGUUUGAGUCCAGAUAUUGGAAAGACAAGAUCUCUUAAUGUCAUAAGUAUAUAUAGUUAUCAUCAAAGUGUCUGUUGGUGCAUGAAUAUUGGAAAGACAAGAUGUCUUACCGUCAUAAGUAUAUAUAGUUAUCAUCAAAGUGUUUGUUGGUGUAUGAGCAAUGCAAUUGAUGCAUUCCCAAGAAGAGCGUUGAUCUCCAUGCUUAACUCAAAGCUAGACAUAGAGUUAGUUAAGUCUAUAUCAAUUACUUCGUAACGUAAGUUGAAAUUUGAGAGUCCAUAUAGAAAGAUUACAUGGAAAGGACUUGGUAGAAAGUUGAAACAUAGAAAGUGAGAUUUAGUUCGACCACAUGCCAAAUUUGCUUAUAACGUGAAGAAGAUCUAUGAUAAGCUACUAAAAUGUAACUUAAAAUCUGGUGAGCAUUGGGUCCCCAUGUUUUUUCCCUUGAGUCUCCGUUCUUACUAUAGAAAAUCUUGCGCCAUCUAUGGAAGUUGUUAGACUCGAGGACGAGUCUUUUUCAACCAGGGGAGAAUGAUGCAAGAUCAAGAAUGCUAAGAAUCAAAAAAUCAAGAAGUGAAGAAUACAUUCAAGAUUAGGAUUUCUUUUCCUUAAAGAUGAAGAUUUGUUAUUUCUUAUUUCCUAGUAAUUUAAUUCUUAUUUUAGUAGGAUUAUAUGUGUAGUUCUAGUCAAACUAGGAUUGUUAGUUGGUAUCUCAUUCCUACUGGAAUACUUUUUCCUAUUUUAGAUAGGAUAGGUUUUCUUAGCCUUAUUCUGCUCUUAUUGCAAUCUUGAGGGAUUGGGGAACGUGUGGGUGAGGUUUCUUUCCAUCUCACAUUCUUCUAACGUGAGUUUGAAGAACGCUUUCGCUAGUUUUGUAAUAAAACUUUACAACAACAACCAAGUAUAUUCCCACUUAGUGGGGUUUGGGAGGGUAGUGUGUACACAGACCUUACCCCUAUCUUGAGGUAGAGAGGUUGUUUCCAAAUAGACCCCCGGCAUCCUUCCCUCCAAGAACUUUCUGCCUUGCUCUUGGGGAGACUCGAACUCACAACCUCUCGGUUGGAAGUGAGGGUUGCUUACCAUUAUAGCAACCCCUUUUGUCUCUUUUGUGAAAAACUUUAGCAGGGUGAUUUUGUUUUUCUCUCUUCUUGGUACUUGAGAGGUGCAAAACCUUGAAAGUACAUCAAACCUUGUAGCUAACAUUCUUCAAUGUCCCAAAGUUUCUCUUCUGCAACUCUUCUUUUUGGCAGUUCUCGUCUUCUUCUAUAGAGGACUCCUCCUCUUCCUCAGCACAUCUUUCCUUAGAACUAACCUAAUUUGGACCGAGUUUCUCUUUCUUUAAUACUUGUUGUCACUAGAACUUUCCUCCUCACUAAUUCAUUCCUUUUUUCGAGCUUUUGCGACAACUAGGCCGAACUAUCAUCUUGAUAUACAUGCAAACUUUUGGUGAGCAGCAGGAGAUGGUCUUUUAGAAUGGUCCACUUUAUUGGGAGCCUCAUCAGAUUCUUCGUCAAGGAUUUUAUUGCAACACUCAACCUUGUAUAUAGCAGUCUUUCCUUUUCUGCUUAAGAAUCACUUUCUUCAGAGCUAUCACUUGUCCUCUUUCAUACUGGAGUCAUCACUUGACUCAUACUACUUUUCUUGGCUACAGUAAAUCUACAUACACAAUGAUGGAUAAUGUUUUUUUUAAGAUCUUCAAGAAGUUCUAAUUCUUACAGAUCCCUCAAGAAAAUUCUUUAGAUGCCAAAUGUUGGGAAUUCGGAAAAUUCAUUCUCAACCAACCAAAUAUCUUGAAAACAAGUGACACAAACACAAACAUAUUCGUUCCGCUUCCAAACGCUGGAAAUUCCAAUACCAAAUGUUCGGUCUAAUGUUUGCUAGGAUUUGAUUUCUUGUAAGAGAUUAUAUGCAAACUGAGAAUGUAUCAAAGAUUCUAGUGCUGAAGAACCUAUAUUCUUAAAUAUUUGAUUGAGACAAGUUAAUGGCGCGACAUUGAGAAUUCACAUAGCCCACCCUCAACUAACUUGGGACUGAGACAUAGUUAUUGUUGUUGUUGCUUUAAUGGAUGACCAGUUCAGUACAUUUAGCCGUGUUAACAACAACAACCCAGAAUAAUUCCACUAUUGGGGUUUGGGGAGGGUAGUGUGUACGCAGACCUUACCCCUACCCCGAAGGAGUAGAGAAGCUGUUUCCGAAAGACCCUCAACUCAAGAAAACAAAAAGACAAAAGGAGACAAUAUUAGUAUGACUACAAAAAUCAUAUGAAAAAUAUGAACAACAUGAAAUCUAGAAGAAAGAUGCAAAGCAAAAGCGAUAGCUAGUAAAUAGGUCCUGCACUGAAAAGCGAAAUAGUAAGAUACAACAUUGCUAAUAGCUAUCUUAAACAAAAACCCUACUAGAAUAGUCUCACAAUGGUACGAAGUAGGGCAAGACUCAACUACCUCAUAACCUACAACCCUACAUUUGGCCGUAUUGUUUUAGCUAAAGUCAUAUAGCCAAGUCUCCAAUCAUUUGAUUCAAAAAAGUUCCAGUACCAUGAUAAUUAUGUUGUGAAAGAGGUAUUCAGAUGAAAAAGUAAACAAAUCAGUAAA
Molecule: long non-coding RNA, 5108 nt
Filed under: Nicotiana benthamiana
Lineage: Eukaryota; Viridiplantae; Streptophyta; Magnoliopsida; Solanales; Solanaceae
Description: long non-coding RNA (NBEN_LNC019690)
Source: RNAcentral